UACGGGGGGGGCAAGCGUUGUUCGGAAUUACUGGGCGUAAAGGGCUCGUAGGCGGCCAACUAAGUCAUACGUGAAAUCCCUCAGCUUAACUGGGGAACUGCGUGUGAUACUGGAUGGCUUGGAUUUGGGAGAGGGAUGCGGAAUUCCAGGUGUAGCGGUGAAAUGCGUAGAUAUCUGGAGGAACACCGGUGGCGAAGGCGGCAUCCUGGACCAAUAUUGACACUGAGGAGCGAAAGCCAGGGGAGCAAACGGG
Molecule: ribosomal RNA, 253 nt
Filed under: uncultured bacterium
Lineage: Bacteria
Description: partial 16S ribosomal RNA
Rfam family: Bacterial small subunit ribosomal RNA
Source: RNAcentral